RNAcentral lists this ribosomal RNA (329 nucleotides) under uncultured eukaryote. RNAcentral's name for it is "partial 18S ribosomal RNA". It matches the Rfam family "Eukaryotic small subunit ribosomal RNA", at positions 1470 to 1796 of the family's 1831-position model. The record is from RNAcentral.
CCCUUAGAUGUUCUGGGCCGCACGCGCGCUACACUGAUGCAUUCAACGAGUCUAAAACCUGCUCUGAUAGGGGUGGGUAAUCAUUUGAAUGUGCAUCGUGAUUGGGAUAGAUGAUUGCAAUUUUUCAUCUUCAACGAGGAAUGCCUAGUAAACGCAAGUCAUCAGCUUGCAUUGAUUACGUCCCUGCCCUUUGUACACACCGCCCGUCGCUCCUACCGAUUGAAUGAUCCGAUGAAUAUCAUGGAUUGAGGAUGCAAGCAGGUUCGCCUGUCUUCAUCUUCGAGAAGUGAAGUAAAUCUUAUCAUUUAGAGGAAGGAGAAGUCGUAACA